UCAGCUAGGUAAUAAAUCAGUUAUGCAUUCAGUAGAUUGGAAUUGUAUUUUGUAGCUUAAAUCUAUAACUAGAUAGACAAGAAUGUUGGUUGCUUUACUCUGGUUUGAGCCCUUGCCUGAAACAAUGUACGUUUGGGACAUUUUCUACCACUAAGGUGGCCAGUCGCCAUAUGACUGAAGAACCAACAAAACAAUCCAUAUUGGUUUAGUUAAAAGUUUGUUUAAAAUAUGGUAUAUGUUUACAUUUUGAGAUUGGAAUGUUGUUUUGUUAACCCAGUGACUUUUCAGUAAACCUAUAGACAAUGGAGUCUGAAUGGCUUGAGUGGCAUCAAAUGUGAUUAUGGAUAGAUGUCAGAAAAUGGAUGGCUUAAAGCACACCUGUGACAGAGUAAUGAAGAACUUGACAUGCAUGGUGGAAGUUGAUCGAGACUAUCAAUUCUUCGAGAGGUCCAGCGACUAUGAUACUCGCAAGAAGGAUACGGUAUGGAAUAGCUUUCUACACCUCUGUGCUGGCAGAUUUGUUAGAUUGGAAGUUGUUUCAGUGUGGAGUGAGAUGGACACUUUGUAUGGUCAGGUAAAAGUUGCUUUUGAAGUCACAAGUAAGUCUCAAUAAAGGCAUUUCCAUUUCUAGUUGUUUAACUAGCUAAGUAUUGGAAAGUUGGUGGUUCUACUCUUAUUAGGUGUCUGUCUUUGUCCGAAACAAUGCCAUUAAGGCACAUUUUCCUCUACCUUUAAAGCUGGACAGUCACCAAAGUAAAACGUAGAAUUGGAAAUAUUGUUUAGGUUAUACUGUUACUUUUAGAGAUUGCAAUGUUGUUCUGUUAACCCCAGUGACAUUUCAGAAAACAUUUACAACAUGUUGGCUAGAUUUCUUGCUUGAUGUCGGAAGUUGUGAUGGUGGGGAUGGUUGUGUGACAUUGGUGAAGUUUGAUUGUGCUGGAAAGUGACAUGAUGGAGCAUGGGUAAAUCAUCUAUUUUGAGUUUGUGUAAAUCACAGGACAGCAGGUGUGCAACAUGUAUAUGGUGGGUUCAAUUUUUGAGUAGCUAAGUAAUAAAUCAGUUACACAUUCAGUACAUUGGAAUUGUAUUUUGUAGCUUUAAAGUCUAUAACUAGGUAGACUGGAAUAUUGGUUGCUUUACUCUGGUACCAGCCCUUGCCUGAAACAAUGUACAUUUGGGGCAUAAUUUCCUACCAAUAAAGGUGGACGGCCAGUCGCCAUAUGACUUGAGAACCAACUAAACAAUUGUUAUCGUUUUAGUUCAGAGUUUAAGAUAUGGUCAAUGUUAACAUUUUGAGAUUGGAAUGUUGUUUUGUUAACCCAGUGACUUUUCAGUAAACCUAUAGACAAUGGAGUCUGAAUGGCUUGAGUGGCAUCAAAUGUGAUUAUGGAUAGAUGUCAGAAAAUGGAUGGUUAAAGCACACCUGUGACAGAGUAAUGAAGAACUUGACAUGCAUGGUGGAAGUUGAUCGAGACUAUCAAUUCUUCGAGAGGUCCAGCGACUAUGAUACUCGCAAGAAGGAUACGGUAUGGAAUAGCUUUCUACACCUCUGUGCUGGCAGAUUUGUUAGAUUGGAAGUUGUUUCAGUGUGGAGUGAGAUGGACACUUUGUAUGGUCAGGUAAAAUUUGCUUUUGAAGACACAAGUAAGUCUCAAAAAAGGCAAAACAUAGAAUUGUAUCUGUUUAAUGGAAAUAUUGUAUAGGUUAUACUGUUACUUUUUGAGAAUGCAAUGUUGUUCUGUUAACCCCAGAGAUAUUUCAGAAAACCCUUGCAACAUGUUGGCUAGAUUUCUAGAUUGAUGUCGGAAGUUGUGUUGAUGGAUUUAUGUUGGAAUGUGGAUGGUUGUGUGACAUUGGUGAAGAUUUGUCAGAUUUGGAGUUGCUCCAGUGUAGAGAGAGAUGGACACAGUGUAUCGAUAAAAAAACUACUCAAGGAUGUCACAGAACAUGAAGUUACAUGAAAAUUAUGACUGUCAUCUUCAAGCAUUUACAGUAACAACACAGUAAGAUCUGAUGUUUCAUUGGAAAAUGGUGUAGUGUGUGUGUGUUGAUCUGACAGGACAAUGAUUCAAUUAUAUUUUGUUAAAUGAUGAGUACUAGAUGAUAUUUUCCAUCAAGUUAUCAAGACAAGACGGUAAGAAUUGCAGUGGUUUAAUAGUUGCUCAGCAGUGUGAAAGACAAGGCAAGUACAGAACAGAGAGGUAAAAUAUUGAAAAGGUGUAAUAUUGUAUUUAUUGUGGCGGGAGGGACAUAAAUAAAUGCCAUUAUGAAUUAUAUGUUGCGGUUAGUGUUAAAUUGUGAAAUGAAUAGAAAAGGAUAUAGUGAAUUGCCUGGAAAGAAAUGAGAAUGAAAACAUUGUGAAGUUUUGAGAAUGGAAAUAGGGCAUGAAAAGUCAGUGCAGUGAAAAAUGGAAAGUGUUGGUUGAAAUAUGAAAGAAAUGAAGGAACUACAAGAGGUCAGCAAUAGACAUUUUUGAAAAAUGGAGAUGUGAAAGUGAAAAAUGAAUGAAAAUAAUUGGAAAGGGAGAGAAUACAUGGAAAUUGGAAUGGAAACAAUUGAAUAAUAGUCAAGGAAAUGGAAAAAAACUAGGAGAGUUGAAUAAAAUGAAAUUUAAAAGCGAAAAUAGUUCAUCAUGUGUGAAAAGCAAAUGAAUAAAAAAGAAGAUAAUUUGGUUGAGAAAAUGUAGAUGAAAAAAGAUAUGAAAACAAUUGGCUUUCUAGACAGAUCAACUUUCUGUAGAAAGUCAAUUUCAGGUCUCCUGGCAUCCAUGAUUGUUGAUUGUUUGCACGUCCCCAUCAUAGUUCUGCCAUGAAGGGGAAGUGCAGAUAUGACAGAUUUUCUACUUUAUUCUUAUCUAACUUUAUCUCGAUCUUUACAAAACUUUCUUUUCUGUACAAAGUUUUCCUCCAGACAAGAUUAUGUAGGUACUGACCAUGGUCAUUGACAUAUACCAGUUGUGACAAACCUCUCCAUCAAAAUA
Long non-coding RNA from Ruditapes philippinarum (Manila clam), 2980 nucleotides. RefSeq lists it as uncharacterized. The transcript has 4 exons. The record is from RefSeq and is a predicted model, not a curated record. Lineage: Eukaryota; Metazoa; Mollusca; Bivalvia; Venerida; Veneridae.